This 233-nucleotide long non-coding RNA is filed under the name Olea europaea subsp. europaea. Lineage: Eukaryota; Viridiplantae; Streptophyta; Magnoliopsida; Lamiales; Oleaceae. The record is from RNAcentral.
GGAUAAUCCACACACACGUAUCUCGAUUUCUAGAUAUGUGUCAACAUUUUAGAUACCAAGGGAUUUCGGAUGACGCUAUUAGGUUAAGGCUUUUUCCACAUACGUUACGAGACAGAGCACUUGAAUGGUUGGAUUCACUCCCGGUUGCAAGUAUCACUACAUGGAACGAGCUGGCACACAAAUUAUGCACAAAGUUUUUCUCCCUAGCCAAAAUAGCGAAGCUGAGACGUGAC